AGAGUUUGAUCCUGGCUCAGGAUGAACGCUGGCGGCGUGCCUAAUACAUGCAAGUCGAACGAGGUGCUUGAGUAGCAAUACGAGAGUAUCCUAGUGGCGAACGGGUGAGUAACGCGUUGGUGACCUACCCCAAAGUGUGGGAUAACAGUCCGAAAGGAUUGCUAAUACCGCAUGUGGUCUUCGGAUUUAGAAACUGAUGACUAAAGGAGCAAUUCGCUUUGGGAGGGACCUGCGUCCCAUCAGCUAGUUGGUGAGGUAACGGCUCACCAAGGCUACGACGGGUAGGGGACCUGAGAGGGUGGCCCCCCACAAUGGAACUGAAACACGGUCCAUACACCUACGGGUGGCAGCAGUAGGGAAUAUUGCACAAUGGGCGAAAGCCUGAUGCAGCAACGCCGCGUGUGCGAUGAAGGCCUUCGGGUCGUAAAGCACUUUUCUGAGAGAUGAGAAAGGACAGUAUCUCAGGAAUAAGUCUCGGCUAACUACGUGCCAGCAGCCGCGGUAAAACGUAGGAGGCAAGCGUUAUCCGGAUUCACUGGGCGUAAAGCGCGUGCAGGUGGUUCGGUAAGUUGGGCGUGAAAUCUCCCGGCUCAACUGGGAGAGGUCGUUCAAUACUACCGAACUUGAGAGCAGAAGAGGAAGAUGGAAUUCCCGGUGUAGUGGUGAAAUGCGUAGAUAUCGGGAGGAACACCAGUGGCGAAGGCGAUCUUCUGGUCUGUUUCUGACACUCAGACGCGACAGCUAGGGUAGUAAACGGGAUUAGAGACCCCGGUAAUCCUAGCCGUAAACGAUGUGAACUUGGCGUUGGUGGGUUAAACUCCAUCAGUGCCGAAGCAAACGCGAUAAGUUCACCGCCUGGGGACUACGGCCGCAAGGUUAAAACUCAAAGGAAUUGACGG
Molecule: ribosomal RNA, 899 nt
Filed under: uncultured bacterium
Lineage: Bacteria
Description: bacterial SSU rRNA
Rfam family: Bacterial small subunit ribosomal RNA
Source: RNAcentral